Molecule: ribosomal RNA, 300 nt
Filed under: uncultured Desulfovibrio sp.
Lineage: Bacteria; Pseudomonadati; Thermodesulfobacteriota; Desulfovibrionia; Desulfovibrionales; Desulfovibrionaceae
Description: bacterial SSU rRNA
Rfam family: Bacterial small subunit ribosomal RNA
Source: RNAcentral
GCCCACUGCGGGCGAGGAGCUGCGGUAAGACGUGGGGUCCGGGCGUUGUCCGGAAUUACUGGGCGUAAAGAGGUCGUAGGUGGUGUGUCGCGUUGUUCGUGAAAACUCACAGCUUAACUGUGGGCGUGCGGGCGAUACGGGCAGACUAGAGUACUGCAGGGGAGACUGGAAUUCCUGGGGUAGCGGUGGAAUGCGCAGAUAUCAGGAGGAACACCGGUGGCGAAGGCGGGUCUCUGGGCAGUAACUGACGCUGAGGAGCGAAAGCGUGGGGAGCGAACAGGAUUAGAUACCCGAGUAGUC